GACGAACGCUGGCGGCGCGCUUAACACAUGCAAGUCGAACGGAAAGGCCUGCUUUCCCUUGUGGAUUGCGGGUACUCGAGUGGCGAACGGGUGAGUAACACGUGAGUGAUCUGCCCCCAACUUGGGUAUAAGCCUGGGAAACUGGGUCUAAUUCCCGAUAGGACUGCAGGGUGGUGCCUGUGGUGGAAAACGAUUUUCUAGUGGUUGGGGAUGAGCUCGCGGCCUAUCAGCUUGUUGGUGGGGUAAUGGCCUACCAAGGCGGCGACGGGUAGCCGGCCUGAGAGGGUGGACGGCCACAUUGGGGCUGAGAUACGGCCCAGACUCCUACGGGAGGCAGCAGUGGGGAAUAUUGCACAAUGGGCGGAAGCCUGAUGCAGCGACGCCGCGUGGGGGAUGACGGCCUUCGGGUUGUAAACUCCUUUCGACCGCGAGGAAGCCACCUGGUUGGAAGGGUGGUGACGGUAGUGGUAGAAGAAGCACCGGCUAACUACGUG
This 494-nucleotide ribosomal RNA is filed under the name uncultured bacterium. RNAcentral describes it as "partial 16S ribosomal RNA". It matches the Rfam family "Bacterial small subunit ribosomal RNA", at positions 28 to 507 of the family's 1533-position model. The record is from RNAcentral.